Molecule: long non-coding RNA, 606 nt
Filed under: Nicotiana tabacum (common tobacco)
Lineage: Eukaryota; Viridiplantae; Streptophyta; Magnoliopsida; Solanales; Solanaceae
Description: long non-coding RNA (NTAB_LNC000709)
Source: RNAcentral
AUUGGAAUUUUAGUUUAUAAAUUGAAAUUUUAGGAUAUGAAUUGAACUUUUGUGGAUAUGAGUUAAACCUUUAGGAUAUGAAUUGAACCUUUAGGAUAUUAGUUUAUGUAUUGGAAUUUUAGUUUAAAAAUUGAAAUUUUAGGAUAUGACUUGAACUUUUGUGGAUAUGAGUUGAACCUUUAGGAUAUGAAUUGAACCUUUAGGAUAUUAGUUUAUGUAUUGGAAUUUUAGUUUCUAUUGAAAUUUUAGGAUAUGACUUGAACUUUGGUGGAUAUGCGUUGAACCUUUAGGAUAUGAAUUGAACCUUUAGGAUAUGAAUUGAAAGUUUUGGUUUAUGUAUUGGAAUUUUAGUUUAUAAAUUGAACUUUUAGGAUAUGACUUGAACUUUUGUGGAUAUGAGUUGAACCUUUAGGAUAUGAAUUGAAAUUUUUGUGUAUGAAUUGAACUUUUAGGAUAUGAAUUAAAAUUUUUGUGUAUGAAUUGAACUUUUAGGAUAUGAAUUGAGCCUUUAGGAUAUGAAUUGAACUUUUGUGGAUAUGAAUUGAAAUUUAAGAUUGCAGGAGGAUUUUGUAGAAGGGGUUGAUGACUUUAUUAGACAUGCAAUGC